Molecule: long non-coding RNA, 4148 nt
Filed under: Homo sapiens (human)
Lineage: Eukaryota; Metazoa; Chordata; Mammalia; Primates; Hominidae
Description: non-protein coding lnc-IL6-3:13
Source: RNAcentral
AGUCACUUGCCGGCUCUCAGAGGGCAUUUCACAUAGGAAAAAAACGUGGUUCCUGCAGACGGUUGCUGGUAUGUGGAGUCCCCCCGCCCGCCGCGGGGCUUACUGAACCUGUGCAGUAGGUGAAAUCUCUACUUUUACAACAAAGGAAAGCUUGAUGGUUCAUUGUUAAACAAAACCAUAUUUGUUUGUUUGUUGUCAAUUUAUACAUAAGAAUAAGAAAGAGUAUGUUAAAGCAGCUUCUCUGCAGUACUAGUACUGUGCUCCAAGAAAGGCAGGUUUAUACUUAGCUGUGGUCCUCAGUGGAGUCCCCAGACCUGCAAUAUCUGGGAACAGCUAAGAAAUUCAAAUUCUCAGGCUCCAGUGCAGACUUAAGAGAUCAGAAACUCUAUCUAGGGGUGGAGUUAGCAAUCUGGACUGUGACCAGCCCUCCAGGUGAUUGUGAGAAUGCAUCCUAAGACAGAGAACCACAGAGCCACAGAAAGAAGAGGCCCUGUGAAGGGAGACCCGAGGGUAUGGAGAGUUGUUGGCUCCAGCUUGGGCGCACUCGUUCUCUCUUUCUGUUUCUUUCUUCCCUCUUCCCUUCUGUUCUCUUUUCCCCUUCCGCCUCCUCUUCCUCCCCCUCCUCCUCCUCUUCCUCCUCCCCCUCCUCCUCCUCCUUCUUCUUCUUCUUCUCUCUCUCUCUCCCUUUCUCCCUCCCUCCCUCCCUCCCUCCCUCCUCUCUCUCCUGUCUGCUGUCAUUGGGAAGCUGUGUGGUCAGCCAGUCAAAAAGCAGAUUUCAGAGUCAGGAGUUCCAGGGUUCACAGUUGAGCUCCAUUCCCUACUGGGUGACUGAGGGCAGUUUCUAAACUUCUCUGAUCCUGUUCUGCCCUCUGAAGAAGGGGAAAAUAAUACAUCCUGUGUACGAUUGUUAUUGGGAAUCAAUGAGCUAGUGUAUGGAAGAGGCUGCAUGUGGUUCUUGGUACAAAGAAGCAGAUUAUUAUCAGUUACAUGUAGGUGAGGCAUCCAAAAUGCUAGGAGAAAAAACCUGAGCCUUUACACGGUAUCGCUGUGUCCAUUGUUACCUUAUCAACUCCCAUAGCAUGCUCACUUUUUUUCAUAGAAAUUGUCUAUUUUCCAUGAUUAUUCAGUGAAUCCACAACAAUCUCAUUCUUGGUUAGGGACUCAUUAAAGUGUUAUCAGUCUUAUGGAAUUAUUUAAAACCUGUGAACUCCCCCAAAUAAUGCUUGAGGGUUCCAACCUUCCCUGCCCCCUCACAAUACAGCUUCAGAAGCUGAUUUGAUCAAGUGAAACCACUGUGCCUCCUACUUCAUUUUCCCGGGUUUGCUGCUUUUCUAAGUAUGUCUCACAAAAUGUAUGCUGCUCUUUUUUUCUUUUAGUCUUCAUAUUGUAUAUUAGAUCCCUAGACUUCUUUGUUCUACACAUCUGCUGCUCUGUAUUCUGACCUACAUCUGCAUACUGCUUUAAUAGAAUGGAUGUUUGCAGACGUGACUGUGAUAUUGGAAUAUGGAAGGAUCCAUCCAGGGUCAGGAAGCAGCAGGCUGGCUUCAUUCUCAGUGUUUGUUUUCUGGGUCUUUGAAGGAGAGGUGUUGCAGGGAAAAAGGUCGUGCAUCAGGAAGUGUCAUUUAAAAAGGACCUGAGUUGGGCUGAGUUAUCAGCAAAUACACGCCAUGGCUGUGCUCCCCACCCCCCACCGUACACUAGCAGGGCAGCAGCUCUGAUUGUCUAACGAGCAGCAGAGCCGCCCAGCAGCAACCACAUUAGGAAGGAAUCGGAAACCAACGCUCCGCUGGCUGUCACCCCUUACCCACUUGCUGUCAGGUAGAGUACUUGUUUAUUAUUAAUUAUCUAUUUUCAGUAUCCUGCACCUGGGGGUGAACAUCAUCGGUGCUAAGACUUUUUAGCCUAUGGGGAUCUCUGCUGAGCACUAAAACCACGGGCUUCCCCUUGGGAAGAGGCAGAAAAUACACUUCCCAGGUUCUCACUGCCAGCUCUGACAGGCUGAACUGCAGUUGGAGAAGGAAACUGAGGACUGGGCUCCCUUCCUGUCUCCUAAGCCAGGGCAGAGCUGGGCUUCGGGUGAUGGCAGGAGACAGAGAAGCAGGUAACUUCCCUGGAGGGAGCUGAGCAGGGCAAGUCCCCUCUUCCAGGGACAUUCCAGGCAUGACAGAGGUGCACAGGCACAGAAGCCCUGCUGCUUCGGCAAGCUAGGCUGCUCAUAGCUGUGUCUACCCCUUCCCGGGACGUGGACUGUGGGGAGUGUCUAUUCAGGACCAUCUAGAAGAGUUCAGAGCCUUUCAAACUUCUUUUCAACAUGCGUUCCUGACUGAGGACACAGCUCAAAGCUGCCUCUCAGGCUUAGAAACACUUCUUAAUUUUCACUGUCGAGGGCUAGCUUUGAGUCAGAUCCUUUCACCUCAUCAAAAAGGGUGUCAGCACACAAGCGCUCCGAAAUUACUCGCUUGGCUUUCUGCUCAGGGUGACUGUGGUAAAGAAGUUACAGCCCACAGGCAAACCCCAGUAAUUGGCCUUGGCCUGGAGCCACACCUUGGAAGCCAUCUCCCAGCGGGAGUGAAAGGACUGUGGGGACAGGGCAUCAAUGUCUGCCCAAGGCAAAAUAGGGCGAACAGUAGCCUGCCUGUGGCACCCUCCCCACCUCUCUUCUAGAGCAGUAACCUUUCAUUUUCUCAGCCUCUGCAUGGGAAGUCUCAUUUAGGCUCCUUAGUUCACCCACACCUUGCUACGACAAACAAAAAAUGAUAACCAUUACAAUAUAUGGAGUCCUUACUACGUGAGCAGCACUGUAUAAGGUGUUUUCCAUGUAUCAUCGUGAUCUUCACAACAGCUGCUCAAGGAACGCAUCAUAAUGGCCCCUUUGGAGGGAACUACAGGGACCCAGGGAGGCUAAGCUACCCUUUAAGGUAAAACUGGCCAGGCCAGGAUUUGAACCCAAGCCAGCCUGACUCAACAGCAAGUGCGGUUUCCCCAACACUAUACCAUCUACCAUUCCCAGACUUCUCAGGCUUAGGCUAUGUCUGGUUUCUACGACAUCAUAAAAUAAACAUUAUUAAUUCAUGAAGAAGCAAAGGACGUGAGCCAUGGGAGUCAUUGGGUAGAUGAAUAUUGAAUGACUGAAUGGACCGGAGCUUCUGUCAGUUCCCUCUCAUCCAAAGACUCAGCACCUCCAAGGCUCAGACUCCCAGGGCACUGCUACCUCAGAGAUCUCUCCAGGCUCUGCUCACAGGCACUCACCCACUGCCUGACCUUGCAGGCUCCUGGAAUUAAGCCAUGAGUGGUUUCCUGUCUCUUGACAACAUCUACCCAGAACUCAGACUUUGGUUUUCCUUUGUCCCUAGACCACAGCCUGAGGCAGCCAAACCCAUUUCCUUGGGGAUCCAGCGCAAACCAGAGAGUGUGGACAGGCCGAUGGAAGAAUGUUGGACCAGCUUUAAGAAUGGGCUGUUCUAAGUCAUGAAUAUUGUAGGAAGCAGCUCUAAGGACCACAGGGCUGGAGGGUGCACAGGAAGGGGCCAGUGCAUACAGACAAAAUAUUACUCUGUCACCCAGACUGGAGUCCAGUGGUGUGAUCUCAGCUCACUGCAACCUCCGCCCCCUCAAGUCCAAGCCACUCUCAUGCCUCAGUCUCCUGAGUAGCUGGGAUUACAGGCACCCACCACCACGUCUGGCUAAUUUUUGUAUUUUUAGUAGAGACAGGGUUUUGCCAUCUUGGCCAGCCUGGUCUCGAACUCCUGGCCUCAAGUGAUCUGUCCACCUCAGCCUCCCAAAGUGCUGGGAUUACAGAUGUGAGCCACCACACCUGGCCUAAAAUGUCAUAUAUUUUGAACUGACUGACUUCUCCAAAAACUUAUGGUUAUUAGUUGAGAGAGAAAACUUGAGAGAAAGUUUCCCUGCACUUGGAUGAGAGGAGAGCGGAACAGCCUGCAUCUCUGGUGCUGGGGAGUAUCAAAUAAGGGGAAUUGGGAGAAGGAUGGAGGCAACAGCGUAGCUCUUUGCCUUUCAAAAUUAAAAUGGGAUGCUGCUUUAUAUUACAAAUCUAAGGAAUUAGAAGAGCAGCAAACUAAGCAACUAAGUUUGUUCUCCUUGCAUAAACUUUAAAAAGCCAGCUUAAAAGUUCUCAAGCUUAAAAUUCG